Anopheles gambiae (African malaria mosquito) is the source of this 1862-nucleotide long non-coding RNA. RefSeq lists it as uncharacterized. The transcript is spliced from 3 exons. The record is from RefSeq and is a predicted model, not a curated record. Lineage: Eukaryota; Metazoa; Arthropoda; Insecta; Diptera; Culicidae.
CGCGUUGGAUUUGAACAUCACUUCACCCGCACAAAUCAAAGAGUGCGUUGAAGAAUGCGAUUUGUGCAUUUGAGCGCGCGCGCGGCCCGAAGACAACCGACGCCGACGACAAGGGCACGCCAAUGGCUCGCGCUUUGAAGGUCCGUGCGCCAAGAGGAAAAAGGCUUCUUUCUUGCCACCAACCCGAGCCAAGCGGGAGAGCAUCCAUGGGGGACAUCCAAGACACACACUAGUUCUUCACUUGCUAGCCAGUCGAUUCGUAAAUCCUCAUCGAACGCCAUCGAAAAUCACUUGUGCCCCACUAGCGCAGUUGCUCUUGGCACUUGGCGAAACAAACCACACGUACAUACGUCGAGGUUCUCGUCGUCAAGUUUGCUUUCCGUUUUCCCUGAAGCAUUGUUUGGACCACCGGCACCCGCACACUCCCGCCAGUUCCCGCUUCCACUGGAAAGCUUUUCCGCCCCUGGUCGGAUGCGAGGUGCCCUAAUGAUGUACUUUCCGUUUCAAUCUCGCACGUACACGUCGUCGUUAAUGAACUGCUUUGGUACGUUUUUCGAUCAUCAUCAUCAUCAUCAUCGUCUUCAUCCUCCUCGUCGUCGUCGUCGCCGCCGUGGUUCACCCUUCGAACCGACGCGAUGCGAACGAUCGAUCGAUCACGCUCCGCAGAAGAACAACGAAAGAACCGGACCGGUGGCUGGUCACUUCGUCGGUUCCCGGUUGGUGCCUCGUCAGCGGCCCCGGCUUGACGCAUGAGGAGAUCUCGUCCAAGAACAGAAGGAGAAUUACAAAAAAACACCAAGACAAAACAAACAAAUAUAUGGUGGCAGGAAAAAUCCAUCAAUUGCCAGGCACACACACACACACACACACGUGACCAGUCUUCGGCGAUGGCUCAAAUCCGAUCCGGUGCUACGUACGCGGCGCUACAACACGCCGGUAACGGUGAAUGAAGUUCUGCUGAAUUUUUAACAGCCCUUUGCUCGAGUGAAUGCAACUGUAAGGAGACCGUAGAAGCUGCUUGAAGCUAAGAAGAAGUAGAAGAAAAAGGCAAAAAGUACAACAACAAAAACACACAACCACACUGUACCAGUCAGAAAAAUGCAGAACUAGAGAAAUGUGCGCGCGGGGUCGAAAACAAUACACCACUCAACGCAACCGGUAAGAACGAGAAUGAAACCCCGAUAAGAAACUUGCAUUGCAUUUAUCUCAAGAAUUAAGUAAAGCUGUUCGGCAAAGCAAACAAACUGAAAAGAAGAAACACCCAAACGCACAGGACACAAUGCAGAAACACACGCGCCCCAGGACAAGCGUGUUGCUGGGCUGGGAAGCUGCCGAUGCAUUGAAAUGCAUCGAGAGAAAACAAUAAAUAACCAUGAUGUGGUUACGAGACUCGGGGCUCUGCUCCCCAAAAAUGCACACUGCUUAAAAAUGACACACGCCCCUCGGUCGAGCCCUUGCCAUGUGCCAUUUACGACUCUCGUCAAUCGCGCCCGAUCUUGACCGAUCGCUCCCCGCACGAUAGCCGCCGCGUCCCAGCGGAAAUGCAUGGGAAAUGUACGCAACCCGGGCAGCGUUGUGGUUGCUGAAAUUCCUUAAGCAUGUUACAAAUGUGGUAGGAAUUCUGCAACAGUUUCGCAGACAGUAAUGUUCAUUAAAAUAUAAGAUUCUUUUUGCAGACUUUUUCCGCUUUUUUUGUUUUGUUUGUUGCUUUGCUUGCUUGCAAAGCCCCGAGACGGGCGAAGGUGAAGCUUAUUUUUCUGCUUCCUCCUUUUCCGUUCCUGCGGCCCGAGUAUGGUGGUUGCACACGCGUAACCGCAACGAGGAUUGAUUCGCGUAUUCGCGCUUGUCAUUAAAAUGUUUUC